Trichosporon asahii var. asahii CBS 8904 is the source of this 107-nucleotide transfer RNA. It matches the Rfam family "tRNA". From Rfam's summary of the family: Transfer RNA (tRNA) molecules are approximately 80 nucleotides in length. Lineage: Eukaryota; Fungi; Basidiomycota; Tremellomycetes; Trichosporonales; Trichosporonaceae. The record is from Rfam.
GGUCGCGUGGCCCAAUGGCAAGGCGUCUGACUACGACUCUUUCAUCCUUCAAGGAUGCAAGCAAGGCGUGUAUCAGGAGAUUGCGGGUUCGAUCCCCGUCGUGACCU